Long non-coding RNA from Pseudophryne corroboree (corroboree frog), 293 nucleotides. RefSeq lists it as uncharacterized. The record is from RefSeq and is a predicted model, not a curated record. The transcript has 2 exons. NCBI's taxonomy places the organism in Eukaryota, Metazoa, Chordata, Amphibia, Anura, Myobatrachidae.
GUGAGAUCGGCAGUGGUCGGUGUCGUUUCUCGCUCACUAGCAGUUAACUUGAGGACACGCCCCCGGAAGCAGUCACCGUGCGCUGGGCCUAUAUAAGAUGGCGCAGGGCGGAAACACGUUCUUUCAGUGCGGCCGUUGGGGUGGAAGGUGAUGCCCCCCGGCCGGAGCAUGAUCUGUGACUGACGGCGUGUGAGGAUCUUAAUGAAUUACAUGCGGUAUACAGUAUUUGUGUGAUGUGCUCUCAUCCUGUGAUUAUUUUGUGAAUAAAGUGUUUGGAUUUUUUUCCCCUCAAA